CCCCAGGCCAGGUUCAAACAUACUGAAUGUUCCUUGCAGUUCUGUAUCUGCUUGUGUUUCUUAUUCCCCCACCCCCACUGCCCCAUGUCUAAAAUCUUUCCUCAGACAUUUCAAGGGCUCAUUUUCCCACCCUGCCAGUUCAUUUUGUCUACCCUCCAUCACUGUGUGUGUUCCUACCAGUCCUGUGUCUCAGUUGUCUUGUUUUGACUUGUCUGCUAUCCCUCUGGACCUGCUCCUCCCAGGCAGAUAUGAAGUCAGCUCACUCUGCAUCUCCAGAGCCUGUCCCAUGAGUGGCUUCAGUGGACAUAGGAUGGAUGGAGCUAAACAGAAAGGAUUCUCCUUGCUGUGCAUCUGCAUCCUGGGGAAGGGACAACAGAUGCUCCCUCCAGGUAUACAACCAGUCUUGAUGUCUUUAGGAUCUUCCUCUCCAUGGACACCUCAUUGCCCUCAAAUCACUGUGGAAGUUGAGUCCUCCUAACAUCCAGCGAAUGUUUAUUCAGCACCCACUCUCUGAUGGGCCUAUGGGAAGCCUGAGAACACAAGUGGAAAAGACUUCACAGGGUUUUCCAUGAAGUACAAUU
This 581-nucleotide long non-coding RNA is filed under the name Cervus hanglu yarkandensis (Yarkand deer). Its description in RNAcentral is "lncRNA (ENSCHYG00000017675.1)". The record is from RNAcentral. Lineage: Eukaryota; Metazoa; Chordata; Mammalia; Artiodactyla; Cervidae.